GAUGAACGCUGGCGGCGUGCCUAAUACAUGCAAGUCGAGCGAACAGACGAGGAGCUUGCUCCUUGGACGUUAGCGGCGGAGGGGUGAGUAACACGUGGAUAACCUACCUAUAAGACUGGGAUAACUACGGGAAACCGGAUCUAAUACCAGAUAAGAUAUUGAACCGCAGGGUUCAAUAGUGAAAGACGGUGUUGCUGUCACUUAUAGAUGGAUCCGCGCGGCAUUAGCGAGUUGGUAAGGUAAAGGGUUACCAAGGCAAGGAUGCGUAGCCGACGUGUGAGAGUGAUCGGCCACACUGGAGCUGAGACAGGGACCAGGCGCCUACGGGAGGCAGCAGUAGGGAAUCUUCCGCAGUGGGCGGAAGCCUGGCGGAGCAACGCGGCGUGAGUGAUGAAGGUCUUCCGAGCGUGAUGCUCUGUUAUUAGGGAGGAACAACUGUGUACGUAACUGUGCACGUCUUGACGGUAACUAAUCAGAAAGCCCCGGCUAACUACGUG
This 497-nucleotide ribosomal RNA is filed under the name uncultured bacterium. RNAcentral's name for it is "partial 16S ribosomal RNA". It matches the Rfam family "Bacterial small subunit ribosomal RNA", at positions 28 to 507 of the family's 1533-position model. The record is from RNAcentral.